Molecule: ribosomal RNA, 744 nt
Filed under: Triticum aestivum (bread wheat)
Lineage: Eukaryota; Viridiplantae; Streptophyta; Magnoliopsida; Poales; Poaceae
Description: partial small subunit ribosomal RNA
Source: RNAcentral
AUGCUUCGUCUUUGGCAGGCUCCCAGGGGGAGCGCCGCCAGGAUCAAUGAAUCUAAUGAGUUGGAACUACCGGGGAGGGGGAAUACCCGGACAGUUCAUGAGUUAGCGACGCUAGUGCAGUCGCAUUCCCCCGUUUUGGUGUUUUUGUGUGAAACUAGGCAAAAGGAAGAGAGGAUGAGGAGACUAAGAGGCCGUCUAGGCCUGAAAGGUUUUGAGUGCAUGGAUAGUAAUGGACUCAGUGGUGGUCUGGCGUUAUACUAGCAUGAAAACUGCUUGGUUGAUAUUCUUGGCAAGGAUGAUAGAUACAUUGAUAUAGCGGUGCGUUUGCAUGCCGAUGCUGAACAGUGGAGAGUGACUUUCGUGUAUGGAGAACCUUGUGUGGAGAAUAGGCAUCUUAUGUGGGAAAAGAUGCAGAACUUAUAUUCGUCGUCGGAUCUCCCAUGGCUAGUUAUAGGAGAUUUUAAUGAAUGCCUUUGGAAUUUCGAGCAUAUGUCAGACACACCAAGGCAAGAACCACAGAUGAAGGCUUUUCGUGAUGUACUGGAAACUUGUCAGCUAGUCUAUUUGGGGUUCUCGGGGAUUCCUUUUACUUAUGAUAAUAAGAGGAGUGGUGCUGCAAACGUGAAAGUUCGCUUGGAUCGGGCCGUAGCAUCAAGUGCCUGUCACAAUAUGUUUGCUUUUGCUGUUGUUACACAUGUGGUUUCGCCGUGCUCUGACCAUGUAGCUGAAGGAAAUAUGCCCUAG